UACGUAGGGCGCAAGCGUUGUCCGGAAUUAUUGGGCGUAAAGAGCUCGUAGGCGGCCAGUUGCGUCUGCUGUGAAAUCCCGGGGCUCAACCCCGGGCGUGCAGUGGAUACGGGCAAACUGGAGUACUGCAGGGGAGACUGGAAUUCCUGGUGUAGCGGUGAAAUGCGCAGAUAUCAGGAGGAACACCGGUGGCGAAGGCGGGUCUCUGGGCAGUAACUGACGCUGAGGAGCGAAAGCGUGGGGAGCGAACAGG
RNAcentral lists this ribosomal RNA (253 nucleotides) under uncultured bacterium. Its description in RNAcentral is "partial 16S ribosomal RNA". It matches the Rfam family "Bacterial small subunit ribosomal RNA", at positions 524 to 776 of the family's 1533-position model. The record is from RNAcentral.